AAUCAACGCUGGCGGCGUGCCUAACACAUGACAAGUCGAACGACGAAAGUGGAGCAAUCCAUGAGUAGAGUGGCAAACGGGUGAGUAACGCGUGGGCGACCUACCUCUGAGUGGGGGAUAACCUUCCGAAAGGAGGGCUAAUACCGCAUGACAUCCCGUGUUUGGAUACACGGACAUCAAAGCCGGGGAUCGCAAGACCUGGCGCUUGGAGAGGGGCCCGCGUCCGAUUAGCAGUUGGUGAGGUAACGGCUCACCAAGGCUCCGAUCGGUAUCCGGCCUGAGAGGGCGGACGGACACACUGGAACUGAGACACGGUCCAGACUCCUACGGGAGGCAGCAGGUGGGGAAUUGUUCGCAAUGGGCGCAAGCCUGACGACGCAACGCCGCGUGGAGGAUGAAG
RNAcentral lists this ribosomal RNA (400 nucleotides) under uncultured bacterium. RNAcentral describes it as "bacterial SSU rRNA". It matches the Rfam family "Bacterial small subunit ribosomal RNA", at positions 29 to 413 of the family's 1533-position model. The record is from RNAcentral.